UUCUUGUAGGCAUUCGGUGAUCAAGGGACGAAGGCUGGAGUAUUCGAAAGUGAUUAGAUACCGCAGUAGUUCCAGCAGUAAAAAGAUGCCGACAUGCUCAUUGGACACAGUGGGCAGGGAGAAAUCUUAGAGUUCGGGCUCUGGGGAUAGUAUGCUCGCAAGGGUGAAAAUUAAAGAAAUUGACGGAGCUACACCACAAGGAGUGGAUUGUGCGGCUUAAUUUGACUCAACGCGAGGAAACUUACCAGGGCCAAGUAUUGUGUAGAAACGAGCAAUACAGGAGUGGUGCAUGGUCGUUGGAAAUUGAUGGGAUGACUUUGACCUUAAAUGGUUGAAUGAGUGAGAUCUUUUGGACAUGUUCCGCACGGAACAGGAAGGAAAAGGCUAUAACAGAUCCGAGAUGCCCUCAGAUGCCCUGGGCUGCACGCGCAAUACAAUAGCAGGUAGAGAGAGAGACAGGAAGGUGCUCAGAUGGACUAUGUGCUGUAAGGCACAUACGAAAGAGGAAUUCCUAGUAAGU
This 520-nucleotide ribosomal RNA is filed under the name Vittaforma corneae. RNAcentral describes it as "SSU rRNA". It matches the Rfam family "Microsporidia small subunit ribosomal RNA", at positions 610 to 1145 of the family's 1311-position model. Lineage: Eukaryota; Fungi; Microsporidia; Nosematidae. The record is from RNAcentral.